CCUACGGGGAGCAGCAGUCGAGAAUCAUUCACAAUGGGGGAAACCCUGAUGGUGCGACGCCGCGUGGGGGAAUGAAGGUCUUCGGAUUGUAAACCCCUGUCAUGUGGGAGCAAAUUAAAAAGAUAGUACCACAAGAGGAAGAGACGGCUAACUCUGUGCCAGCAGCCGCGGUAAUACAGAGGUCUCAAGCGUUGUUCGGAAUCACUGGGCGUAAAGCGUGCGUAGGCUGUUUCGUAAGUCGUGUGUGAAAGGCGCGGGCUCAACCCGCGGACGGCACAUGAUACUGCGAGACUAGAGUAAGGGAGGGGGAACCGGAAUGCUCGGUGUAGCAGUGAAAUGCGUAGAUAGCGAGAGGAACACUCGUGGCGAAGGCGGGUUCCUGGACAUUAACUGACGCUGAGGCACGAAGGCCAGGGGAGCGAAAGGGAUUAGAUACCCCGGUAGUC
RNAcentral lists this ribosomal RNA (446 nucleotides) under uncultured bacterium. RNAcentral describes it as "partial 16S ribosomal RNA". It matches the Rfam family "Bacterial small subunit ribosomal RNA", at positions 338 to 795 of the family's 1533-position model. The record is from RNAcentral.